This 484-nucleotide ribosomal RNA is filed under the name uncultured bacterium. RNAcentral's name for it is "partial 16S ribosomal RNA". It matches the Rfam family "Bacterial small subunit ribosomal RNA", at positions 30 to 507 of the family's 1533-position model. The record is from RNAcentral.
AUUGAACGCUGGCGGCAGGCCUAACACAUGCAAGUCGAGCGGAUGAAGGGAGCUUGCUCCUGGAUUCAGCGGCGGACGGGUGAGUAAUGCCUAGGAAUCUGCCUGGUAGUGGGGGAUAACGUCCUGAAACGGGCGCUAAUACCGCAUACGUCCUGAGGGAGAAAGUGGGGGAUCUUCGGACCUCACGCUAUCAGAUGAGCCUAGGUCGGAUUAGCUAGUUGGUGGGGUAAAGGCCUACCAAGGCGACGAUCCGUAACUGGUCUGAGAGGAUGAUCAGUCACACUGGAACUGAGACACGGUCCAGACUCCUACGGGAGGCAGCAGUGGGGAAUAUUGGACAAAGGGCGAAAGCCUGAUACAGCCAUGCCGCGUGUGUGAAGAAGGUCUUCGGAUUGUAAAGCACUUUAAGUUGGGAGGAAGGGCAGUAAGUUAAUACCUUGCUGUUUUGACGUUACCAACAGAAUAAGCACCGGCUAACUUCGUG